CUUAAUUCAGAAUUGCUUUCAAUUUUUUAUUUCACCAUUGUUGAAAUUAUUUUCUAUCGCACUGCAUCGUCAUCCACUCACAUUGGCGUUCUUAUCACUCCCAACACUUUCACUCUAUGUCAUUUUGUUGAUUCUCUGUUAUAUUGGUUUAUAGGUCUCUCUAGUAAUUGAAAAGGAAAAAACAAAAAAGUCAAUAAUUAACUUGAUUCUAUAUUUUCCUCUCUGUUAUCAACUUCAUCUCGACUUUCUUCUCUGCAAAUUCUUUUCGCCUUAAUUUUGUCCCUAUUGCUCCAGUAACGUUUAUUUCAAAUACUGACUCUCCACUAAUUUUGAGAAGCUUAUUUGCAGGACUUCAUUUUCAAUUGUGGGGGUUUGUCUGUAGCAUUUGUUUUUGUGACUUACUGGGAUUGCAACAACUUGUCUCUGAUCUUCAGCAGAGUUCAGGAAUUGAGAACACAAUUUGCACCUUUUUAUGUUAUCAUCACGCUCCCAGCUAAACAGCAAAUCGAUUCAUUUAUUCAGUCUUACUUCAAGUGAGUUAAAUACGUUGCUUUUAUUUUGUCCUGAUUGAUCAUUUGCUAUGUACAAUUCAUCUGGAGGUAAAAACUGAAAUUUAUUACCAACUUUUAUAAUGGCGCUAUUUCCUAGGAUUAAUUGCAUAUGUAAAUGCUGAUAAAGUAAUCAACAAAUCACAAAGCUCGAUUAAACAAAAAAUACAAGUAACAGUAUUGAUAUAGAAUAGUAUGUGUAAAUUAUAUAGUAAUGUGUGAUUGCAGUGUAUAACAAAAAAUUGUGUUAAAUUGAAUAAAACAAAAGUUGAUGGUUCAAUGGUUAGGCACACCCAGCAUUGUGGAUUAGUGGUGCAGCAGCUUGUGAUCCCUCCACUGUUGGGAGCCAGAGGUAUUCGCUGCUCUGUUAAACCAGCCUGACGCGGUGCCCUCUAGCCUACGAGCCAGGACACUCGAGCCUUCGCUCGGGAGCCAGGGCCCAACUCUCAACUUGGAGCGGGCAAGCCAGCAUGGUGCAAGCUUCUAAU
Non-coding RNA from Arachis ipaensis, 1036 nucleotides. The record is from RefSeq and is a predicted model, not a curated record. NCBI's taxonomy places the organism in Eukaryota, Viridiplantae, Streptophyta, Magnoliopsida, Fabales, Fabaceae.